Molecule: ribosomal RNA, 119 nt
Filed under: Medicago truncatula (barrel medic)
Lineage: Eukaryota; Viridiplantae; Streptophyta; Magnoliopsida; Fabales; Fabaceae
Source: RNAcentral
AGAUGCGAUCAUACCAGCACUAAUGCAUCGGAUAUCAUCAGAACUCUGCAGUUAAGCAUGCUUGUGCGAGAGUAGUAAUAGGAUGUGUGACUUCCUAGGAAAUCCUUGUGUUGCACCUC